CGCGGCCUAUCAGCUUGUUGGUGAGGUAAUGGCUCACCAAGGCGACGACGGGUAGCCGGCCUGAGAGGGUGACCGGCCACACUGGGACUGAGACACGGCCCAGACUCCUACGGGAGGCAGCAGUGGGGAAUAUUGCACAAUGGGCGCAAGCCUGAUGCAGCAACGCCGCGUGAGGGACGACGGCCUUCGGGUUGUAAACCUCUUUUAGUAGGGAAGAAGCGAAAGUGACGGUACCUGCAGAAAAAGCACCGGCUAACUACGUGCCAGCAGCCGCGGUAAUACGUAGGGUGCAAGCGUUGUCCGGAAUUAUUGGGCGUAAAGAGCUCGUAGGCGGUCUGUCGCGUCUGCUGUGAAAACCCGAGGCUCAACCUCGGGCCUGCAGUGGGUACGGGCAGACUAGAGUGCGGUAGGGGAGAAUGGAAUUCCUGGUGUAGCGGUGGAAUGCGCAGAUAUCAGGAGGAACACCGAUGGCGAAGGCAGUUCUCUGGGCCGUAACUGACGCUGAGGAGCGAAAGCGUGGGGAGCGAACAGGAUUAGAUACCCUGGUAGUCCACGCCGUAAACGUUGGGCGCUAGAUGUGGGGACCAUUCCACGGUUUCCGUGUCGCAGCUAACGCAUUAAGCGCCCCGCCUGGGGAGUACGGA
Molecule: ribosomal RNA, 644 nt
Filed under: uncultured Leifsonia sp.
Lineage: Bacteria; Bacillati; Actinomycetota; Actinomycetes; Micrococcales; Microbacteriaceae
Description: bacterial SSU rRNA
Rfam family: Bacterial small subunit ribosomal RNA
Source: RNAcentral